RNAcentral lists this ribosomal RNA (497 nucleotides) under uncultured bacterium. RNAcentral's name for it is "partial 16S ribosomal RNA". It matches the Rfam family "Bacterial small subunit ribosomal RNA", at positions 28 to 507 of the family's 1533-position model. The record is from RNAcentral.
GAUGAACGCUGGCGGCGUGCCUAAUACAUGCAAGUCGAGCGAGCGGACGAGAAGCUUGCUUCUCUGAUGUUAGCGGCGGACGGGUGAGUAACACGUGGAUAACCUACCUAUAAGACUGGGAUAACUUCGGGAAACCGGAGCUAAUACCGGAUAAUAUUUUGAACCGCAUGGUUCAAAAGUGAAAGACGGUCUUGCUGUCACUUAUAGAUGGAUCCGCGCUGCAUUAGCUAGUUGGUAAGGUAACGGCUUACCAAGGCAACGAUGCAUAGCCGACCUGAGAGGGUGAUCGGCCACACUGGAACUGAGACACGGUCCAGACUCCUACGGGAGGCAGCAGUAGGGAAUCUUCCGCAAAGGGCGAAAGCCUGACGGAGCAACGCCGCGUGAGUGAUGAAGGUCUUCGGAUCGUAAAACUCUGUUAUUAGGGAAGAACAUAUGUGUAAGUAACUGUGCACAUCUUGACGGUACCUAAUCAGAAAGCCACGGCUAACUACGUG